UCGACCUGAACUCAGAAAUCU
This 21-nucleotide non-coding RNA is filed under the name Caenorhabditis elegans. The record is from RNAcentral. Lineage: Eukaryota; Metazoa; Nematoda; Chromadorea; Rhabditida; Rhabditidae.